This 253-nucleotide ribosomal RNA is filed under the name uncultured bacterium. RNAcentral's name for it is "partial 16S ribosomal RNA". It matches the Rfam family "Bacterial small subunit ribosomal RNA", at positions 524 to 776 of the family's 1533-position model. The record is from RNAcentral.
UACGUAGGGUGCGAGCGUUGUCCGGAAUUAUUGGGCGUAAAGAGCUCGUAGGCGGUUUGUCACGUCUGCUGUGAAAUCCCGAGGCUCAACCUCGGGCCUGCAGUGGGUACGGGCAGACUGGAGUGCGGUAGGGGAGAAUGGAAUUCCCGGUGUAGCGGUGAAAUGCGCAGAUAUCAGGAGGAACACCGGUGGCGAAGACGGGUCUCUGGGCCGAUACUGACGCUGAGGAGCGAAAGCGUGGGGAGCGAACAGG